UCCAGGUGCAGUGGCACAUGCCUGUAAUCCCAGCAGCUAGGGAGGCUGAGACAGGAGGAUCGCAAGUUCAAAGCCAGCCUCAGCAAUGGUGAGGCGCUUAGCAACUCGGUGAGACCCUGUCUCUA
RNAcentral lists this small RNA (125 nucleotides) under Marmota monax (woodchuck). The record is from RNAcentral. Lineage: Eukaryota; Metazoa; Chordata; Mammalia; Rodentia; Sciuridae.